This 468-nucleotide ribosomal RNA is filed under the name uncultured bacterium. RNAcentral describes it as "partial 16S ribosomal RNA". It matches the Rfam family "Bacterial small subunit ribosomal RNA", at positions 28 to 507 of the family's 1533-position model. The record is from RNAcentral.
GACGAACGCUGGCGGCGUGCUUAACACAUGCAAGUCGAACGGAAAGGCCCUGCUUUUGUGGGGUGCUCGAGUGGCGAACGGGUGAGUAACACGUGAGUAACCUGCCCUUGACUUUGGGAUAACUUCAGGAAACUGGGGCUAAUACCGGAUAGGAGCUCCUGCUGCGUGGUGGGGGUUGGAAAGUUUCGGCGGUUGGGGAUGGACUCGCGGCUUAUCAGCUUGUUGGUGGGGUAGUGGCUUACCAAGGCUUUGACGGGUAGCCGGCCUGAGAGGGUGACCGGCCACAUUGGGACUGAGAUACGGCCCAGACUCCUACGGGAGGCAGCAGUGGGGAAUAUUGCACAAUGGGCGGAAGCCUGAUGCAGAAACGCCGCGUGCGGGAUGACGGCCUUCGGGUUGUAAACCGCUUUCGCCUGUGACGAAGCGUGAGUGACGGUAAUGGGUAAAGAAGCACCGGCUAACUACGUG